AUUCAAAUAGCUUAUGUUAGAGUAUAACAUUGAAGAUGUUAGGGAAAUUAAUUAAAUUUUUGAAUA
This 66-nucleotide transfer RNA is filed under the name Melanagromyza aenea. RNAcentral describes it as "tRNA-Phe". Lineage: Eukaryota; Metazoa; Arthropoda; Insecta; Diptera; Agromyzidae. The record is from RNAcentral.